AACUUCCAAUUGAUGUAGGACGUACUGUGUAGAAGAUUUGUUAAAGCUUGGGAACAGGAAAGUGUCAAUGAUUUAUGGCUGUUGGUAUAAUUUUAAACACUAUUUGACAUCAUUUGUAUUCCUCUUUGACAAGUUCCACACAUUUCCUUAACAUUUGAAAAUGUGCCACUGUCGAUUAUGUCUUUGUUGGGAUUAUUAUGAUCUAGCGUCUAGGCCUAGUUUUCUUCCCUUGAUUGAAGUAAGUUCAAAGUAGUUUCCCCUUGCAUAGACAAUUUGGUAUCCUUGUCAGAAAUGUAAUUUUAUUGGGCUGAAAGGUAAAAUCUUGUUCUGCUCUCAAAUCAGAUGAAGAUAUAUUGUUAAAGGCAUUUUACAAUCCCACGUCACAGCUGCACAAGUAUUUUUCUUGUGUUCUUGUUUUCUGGUCUCUCAUUCUGUGAUAAGCAGGUUUUAUUCAGUCUCUGCUUUCACAAUCUUCUCUCAUCCAUUCAAACAAGCUUGACAACUGUUACUAAAAUUUUAUUCACUCACCCCCCUCUAAAAACUUUUUGCCUUUAACGAUGUUGGAAAUGAUCGAGAAAAAAUCUUUGGUUUUCGGGUUUUGAAACAAAUGACAACGUCUGUCUUUUUUGAUGUAACUGAAGAAAACGCAGCCCAACGAAAAAAUGUCGAGCGACAAACGAGCUCUGAUUGCUUUAAUUUCAUCUUCGCUUUUGCCUUUCAUUUCCAGGUAUUCCGGGGCCAUGUAGGCUGGAGUGCCUUUUAGGCCGCUGCUGGUCGAAAAACUUCCGGAAUUGGUCACGGUCUUGCAGAACCCGAAAUCGGAGAUUUUGAGGACAAAUCUCGGAGAAAUCAACACGUUGGCCGGCUUGAUGUCUCGAUGAACGAAGCGUUUGGAGUGAAUGUAAGCCAAUCCACUGGUCAUUUGAAAUAACCCAUCGACCUCGGCAGGCAUCUGGCCUGAAUAAUCUCCUCGAAUGUAAUCGUCGACCGUCGCAACGCAAAGCUCCAAAAUAAGAAUCUUUAGGACUUCAUCCAAUUUCCAGCGCUCGUUGGGAUUUUUUUUCGUCAUUCCAUCAAUCACGGCGAAUGCGUAAUGAUUCGGUGACAACUUUCCAUUGUCGAGAACCUUUAUAUCUGAUUGGAUGUUGGAGAUAGUUCCAAACUCGUCGGGCGAUCCUCCAUUUUUGGCAAACGGAUGGCAGCCUUCUGUGAGGCGAGUAAUAGAUGCGGGUGCCUUUUGGGCCACUAGUCAUCGAGAAACUGCCGGAACUUGUCACGGGCCGACAGACUCCGAAAUCGGAAAUUUUUAGAACAAUCGAUUGAGAAAUCAACACGUUGGCCGGCUUGAUGUCUCGAUGGACCAAACAUUGGGAGUGGAUGUAAGCCAAUCCGCUUGCCAUUUGAAUCAACGCAUCGAUCUCGGUGGGCAUCUCCCUUUUAUAGUUUCCUUUGAUGUAAUCGUUGACUGUUGCAAUACAUAAUUCCAGUAUCAGAUACCU
This is a long non-coding RNA of Daphnia pulex (common water flea), 1499 nucleotides long. RefSeq lists it as uncharacterized. The record is from RefSeq and is a predicted model, not a curated record. The transcript is spliced from 5 exons. Lineage: Eukaryota; Metazoa; Arthropoda; Branchiopoda; Diplostraca; Daphniidae.